This 907-nucleotide long non-coding RNA is filed under the name Nicotiana benthamiana. RNAcentral describes it as "long non-coding RNA (NBEN_LNC009389)". The record is from RNAcentral. Lineage: Eukaryota; Viridiplantae; Streptophyta; Magnoliopsida; Solanales; Solanaceae.
CUUUUUUUCAUUCUAGUUAUUAUCAUGGGAAGGAAUGAAGAAGAUUAGAGAUCCAAUCAAAUAUUGGUGAUGAAUCCCUCUCCCCCUCUUUUCUCUUUUUUCCCUUUUUAGAAUAAGGGAGGAAAGAGAAAGAAUAAAAACGCAAAAAGCGUGACUCUUUCCCUAAUCCAAGCAUAUAUCAACCGCAACAGUGCAACAUACAGAGGGAAGCCCAGAUCGAAGAUGCCUGGUCUAUAGAUAGCUCGAAUGCUUUGCUGUCCUAGAGUUGUAUUUGCUCCAGAAUUUCAAUAAUAGAAGGUCAGUUCUUCCAUUUCUUCACUGAAAAUUUAUUCAUGUCCAGUUAUUAGCUGGUAGAAAAAUAUACAUUGUUGAUUUAUAGCAUUCCAGUUUUCCUUUUUGUUGAGUUGUCCCACAUUGAAGGGAUUUGAGGUCUUUAGUCUCCUUAUAUGGCUUAGGCAAUCCUUACUUCAUAAGCUAGCUUUUGGGGUUGAGUUAGGCCCAAGGUCCAUUAUUAUCAUGGUAUCAAAGCCUGGCCCAUCUCAAUUAUUGUUACCGAUGUCGGGCUCCCAUUUAUGUUGUCCACGCUCCAGUGAUCUGGGCGUGAUGGGGGUGUUGAGUUGUCCCACAUCGGAGGGAUUUGAGGUCUUUAGUCUUCUUAUAUGGCUUGGGCAAUCCUCACUUCAUAAGCUAGCUUUUGGGAUUGAGUUAGGCCCAAGGUCCAUUCUUAUCACUUUUAUUGAUUUUUGUCGCGAUUGAUCUGAUUUGCUGCCUUCUCUCAACGUUAAAUAAUCUUAAUUCAUGUGAGUUUCAAGCUAUUUGAGUUCUAAAAUGGUUCGUCAUGCCUUGUUGCGGCAGAUUUAAGCUUAGACUUUGACUACACUUGAUGGGAAGAAAAAGUAUCCCUCUG